Non-coding RNA from Myotis lucifugus (little brown bat), 83 nucleotides. The record is from Rfam. Lineage: Eukaryota; Metazoa; Chordata; Mammalia; Chiroptera; Vespertilionidae.
UUUACUUCCCUAGUUGUAGGACUUCCAUUCAGCCAGCUUUCAGGCAGUUCUGAAUGAUGGUUGUUCUGUAUUUUAGCUGUAAU